GGGCCCGUAGCUCAGCGGUAGAGCGGCCGGCUCAUAACCGGUUGGUCCCUGGUUCGAAUCCGGGCGGGCCCACCA
RNAcentral lists this transfer RNA (75 nucleotides) under Armatimonadota bacterium. RNAcentral's name for it is "Armatimonadetes bacterium (hot springs metagenome) tRNA-Met". It matches the Rfam family "tRNA". From Rfam's summary of the family: Transfer RNA (tRNA) molecules are approximately 80 nucleotides in length. The record is from RNAcentral. Lineage: Bacteria; Bacillati; Armatimonadota.